Molecule: long non-coding RNA, 856 nt
Organism: Ricinus communis (castor bean)
Lineage: Eukaryota; Viridiplantae; Streptophyta; Magnoliopsida; Malpighiales; Euphorbiaceae
Exons: 2
Source: RefSeq, a predicted model, not a curated record
UAAGACACCAUUUUCUAUCCUAAAUACCAUAUCCAAAUAACAACCUCUCUCUCUCUCUAGAAAGUUCAGAGAUUCUUAGUACCCCCAGCUUAGCGGUAAAUGGCCAGCCUUGGUCUGGUUCGGCUAGUUCCGGCUCUUUUGCCAGCCUUGACUCUUUGGAGUGCCGGUCUUUGACGGAUGCUGGCAGGAGAGGAAGAUGGGAGCUGACAAAAGUGAUGGAGUUAAAAGAGCACAAGAUAUUUUGGCCUACUAUCAAGCUUUUUGGACGAAAGAAAUUAAGGCAUGACCUCUUAUCUGUUUUUGGUUUUCAUCGUCUCUAAUGCGAGAUGUAGGUGUCUUCAAUAGUUGAUUGGGUUUGAUUUAUAUUUGAGAUUCCUCAUCUUUCAAAAUUUUUGUGCUUCCAAAAUUUCAUCAUGCGACAUGACAAACUCAAGAAUCAUUAGUACUAUAUCUUAAGGAGUGGGCUUCUUGUUGAGCUUCUGAUCUGUAUAGUAAGCUGUUAUGGUAGCUGCAACUCUCUGGUCUCAGGCGGCUGUAUUGAAGAAGAUGGUAAAAGAGGCUGCUCGAUGGAGGGUUUUAGGCCAGGGGCAUCACUGUUAUUUUCUAAUAUUUCUCAUCCUUUGGGCUGAUAUUGUUAAGGGCUAUAUGCCUAUUUUAAACUUUCAAAAGGGCUUUAGGCCCGUUUACAUAAACCCUCAUGCGGAUUAUGUUGUUGGGACUUUUGGUCCCUUGAGUUGGUGUUUUUCUGCCUACUUGCCUUGUAAUUUGUAUGUACUGUCUUGGGUGUUUUGCCCAUUUUGAUUGCAGCUCUUCAUUUUAUUGACCAAGAAAAAUACCACAGCCAAAUUUUUUCUGA